AGUUCUGGACUGAGAAUUCCAUCUAAUUGUUCUUCACUGAGGGGCCGGGAACUCUGAUUGACACUUGGCUGAGGCAGAGAGGAAGGAUCAUCAGAGAUGGGACCAAUAUCUAGUCCAGCUGAAGAGGGUACACUUGGGUUUUCUCUGCAAACUAUGAAGUACCCACAACACCUGAAGAACAGAGGAAACAACUUUGGAUUGGGGGAGAAUCCUGACUGAAAGGAAUUCAGUAACUGCUGUAACAUGCGGUGAGAGAGACCUUUGCUUUGAGUUCACUUAGCUUGUUAAAUUUGGCAUUAGUUGUGUUUUACUUUUAUUUUCUUGUAACCAAUUUUGACUUUGAUGCCUCAUUACUGGUAAUCACUUAAAAUCUAUCUUUUGUAAUUAAUAAACUUAUUUUAUUUUA
This is a long non-coding RNA of Chelonia mydas (Green sea turtle), 406 nucleotides long. RefSeq lists it as uncharacterized. The record is from RefSeq and is a predicted model, not a curated record. The transcript is spliced from 3 exons. NCBI's taxonomy places the organism in Eukaryota, Metazoa, Chordata, Testudines, Cheloniidae.